UAGGGAAUCUUCGGCAAUGGACGAAAGUCUGACCGAGCAACGCCGCGUGAGUGAAGAAGGUUUUCGGAUCGUAAAACUCUGUUGUUAGAGAAGAACAAGGACGUUAGUAACUGAACGUCCCCUGACGGUAUCUAACCAGAAAGCCACGGCUAACUACGUGCCAGCAGCCGCGGUAAUACGUAGGUGGCAAGCGUUGUCCGGAUUUAUUGGGCGUAAAGCGAGCGCAGGCGGUUUCUUAAGUCUGAUGUGAAAGCCCCCGGCUCAACCGGGGAGGGUCAUUGGAAACUGGGAGACUUGAGUGCAGAAGAGGAGAGUGGAAUUCCAUGAGUAGCGGUGAAAUGCGUAGAUAUAUGGAGGAACACCAGUGGCGAAGGCGGCUCUCUGGUCUGUAACUGACGCUGAGGCUCGAAAGCGUGGGGAGCAAACAGG
RNAcentral lists this ribosomal RNA (429 nucleotides) under Gemmatimonadota bacterium. Its description in RNAcentral is "Gemmatimonadetes bacterium partial 16S ribosomal RNA". It matches the Rfam family "Bacterial small subunit ribosomal RNA", at positions 355 to 776 of the family's 1533-position model. The record is from RNAcentral. Lineage: Bacteria; Pseudomonadati; Gemmatimonadota.